This 104-nucleotide small nuclear RNA is filed under the name Octodon degus (degu). The record is from RNAcentral. Lineage: Eukaryota; Metazoa; Chordata; Mammalia; Rodentia; Octodontidae.
UGAAUUCAAUCCCUCAUUCUGAAAAAAAAAAAAACAAAAACAGAAGAUUAGCAUGGUCCCUGUGCAAGGAUGACACACAAAUUUGUGAAGCAUUCCAUGUUUAA